RNAcentral lists this ribosomal RNA (502 nucleotides) under uncultured bacterium. RNAcentral describes it as "partial 16S ribosomal RNA". It matches the Rfam family "Bacterial small subunit ribosomal RNA", at positions 28 to 507 of the family's 1533-position model. The record is from RNAcentral.
GAUGAACGCUGGCGGCGUGCCUAACACAUGCAAGUCGAGCGGCAGCGAGUUUUACACUGAAUUCUGGAAGCUUCUAGUUGAGAGAGAAGAUUUAUUCAAGAAUUUUGUGUAAAAUGUCGGCGAGCGGCGGACGGCUGAGUAACGCGUGGGAACGUAUCCCAAAGCGAGGGAUAACGCAGCGAAAGGCGGGCUAGUACCGCAUAUGGGCUUCGUAUUAAAGCCUUCGGGCGGUUUGGGAACGACCUGCGUAAGAUGAGAAAGUUGGUGGGGUAAUUGCCUACCAAGGCGACGUUCCUUAACUGGUAUGAGAGGAUGAUCCGUCAGACUUGAACUGAGACCCGGUCCCGACUCCUACGGGAGGCAGCAGUGAGGAAUCUUCCACAAUGGGCGAAAGCCUGAUGGAGCAACGCCGCGUACAGGAUGAAGGCCUUCGGGUUGUAAACUGCUUUUAUAAGUGAGGAUUAUGACAGUAACUUAUGAAUAAGGAUCGGCUAACUACGUG